Non-coding RNA from Acanthosepion pharaonis, 113 nucleotides. The record is from the annotation of a GenBank genome assembly. NCBI's taxonomy places the organism in Eukaryota, Metazoa, Mollusca, Cephalopoda, Sepiida, Sepiidae.
UUACGGCCACAUCACAUUGAAACACCGGUUCUUGUACGAUCUCCGAAGUUAAGCAAAGACGAGCUUGGCCAGUACCAAAUGAGUGACCACUUGGGAAUACCAGGUGCUGUAAG